AAACGAAGCGAGUAACGCGUGCCUAACCUGCCCUUAAGAUGGGAACAACUACGGAGACGUAGCUAAAUCCCAAUAUGCUCACGAUGGUGAAAUGCCGAUGCGAGGAAAGAUUUAUCGCUUAAGGAGGGGGGCGGCGUCCUAUCAGGUAGUUGGUUGAGGUAACGGCUCACCAAGCCUAUGACAGGUAGCUGGUCUGAGAUGAUGUCCAGCCGCGAUGGGACUGAGAUACGGCCCAUACUCCUACGGGAGGCAGCAGUGGGGAAUCUUGCACAAUGGACGAAAGUCUGAUGCAGCGAUCCCGCGUGAAGGAUGAAGCAUUACGGUGUGUAAACUUCUUUUUUGGUGGAAGACGAAUGACGGUACACCAAGAAUAAGAGACGGCUAACUACGUGCCAGCCGCUGC
Molecule: ribosomal RNA, 403 nt
Filed under: uncultured bacterium
Lineage: Bacteria
Description: bacterial SSU rRNA
Rfam family: Bacterial small subunit ribosomal RNA
Source: RNAcentral